AUUGAACGCUGGCGGCAGGCCUAACACAUGCAAGUCGAGCGGAUGAAGGGAGCUUGCUCCUGGAUUCAGCGGCGGACGGGUGAGUAAUGCCUAGGAAUCUGCCUGGUAGUGGGGGAUAACGUCCGGAAACGGGCGCUAAUACCGCAUACGUCCUGAGGGAGAAAGUGGGGGAUCUUCGGACCUCACGCUAUCAGAUGAGCCUAGGUCGGAUUAGCCAGUUGGUGGGGUAAAGGCCUACCAAGGCGACGAUCCGUAACUGGUCUGAGAGGAUGAUCAGUCACACUGGAACUGAGACACGGUCCAGACUCCUACGGGAGGUAGCAGUGGGGAAUAUUGGACAAUGGGCGAAAGCCUGAUCCAGCCAUGCCGCGUGUGUGAAGAAGGUCUUCGGAUUGUAAAGCACUUUAAGUUGGGAGGAAGGGCAGUAAGUUAAUACCUUGCUGUUUUGACGUUACCAACAGAAUAAGCACCGGCUAACUUCGUG
RNAcentral lists this ribosomal RNA (484 nucleotides) under uncultured bacterium. RNAcentral's name for it is "partial 16S ribosomal RNA". It matches the Rfam family "Bacterial small subunit ribosomal RNA", at positions 30 to 507 of the family's 1533-position model. The record is from RNAcentral.